UACGGAAGGCAGCGAGUGGGGAAUAUUGCACAAUGGGCGAAAGCCUGAUGCAGCUAUGCCGCGUGUAUGAAGAAGGCCUUAGGGUUGUAAAGUACUUUCAUCGGGGAGGAAAAACAAAACUAAUAAUUUUAUUUCUUGACGUUACCCGAAAAAGAAGCACCGGCUAACUCCGUGCCAGCAGCCGCGGUAAUACGGAGGGUGCUAGCGUUAAUCAGAAUUACUGGGCGUAAAGAGCACGUAGGUGGUUUUUUUAAGUCAGAUGUGAAAUCCCUGGGCUUAACCUAGGAACUGCAUUUUGAAACUGAAAUACUAGAGUAUCGUAGAGGGAGGUAGAAUUCUAGGUGUAGCGGUGAAAUGCGUAGAUAUCUGGAGGAAUACCUGUGGCGAAAGCGGCCUCCUAAACGAAUACUGACACUGAGGGUGCGAAAGCGUGGGGAGCAAACAGGAUUAGAUACC
This 456-nucleotide ribosomal RNA is filed under the name uncultured bacterium. RNAcentral's name for it is "bacterial SSU rRNA". It matches the Rfam family "Bacterial small subunit ribosomal RNA", at positions 340 to 786 of the family's 1533-position model. The record is from RNAcentral.